RNAcentral lists this ribosomal RNA (253 nucleotides) under uncultured bacterium. RNAcentral's name for it is "partial 16S ribosomal RNA". It matches the Rfam family "Bacterial small subunit ribosomal RNA", at positions 524 to 776 of the family's 1533-position model. The record is from RNAcentral.
UACGUAGGGUGCGAGCGUUAUUCGGAAUUACUGGGCGUAAAGCGUGCGCAGGCGGUUCUCCAAGUCCGUUGUGAAAGCCCCGGGCUCAACCUGGGAAUGGCAGUGGAAACUAGGGGACUGGAAUCUGGCAGAGGGGGGUGGAAUGCCGCGUGUAGCAGUGAAAUGCGUAGAGAUGCGGCGGAACACCGAUGGCGAAGGCAAUCCCCUGGGCCUGCACUGACGCUCAUGCACGAAAGCGUGGGGAGCAAACAGG